AAAUCAGGUAGGAGUACCCGCUGAACUUAAGCAUAUCAAUAAGCGGAGGAAAAGAAACCAACCGGGAUUGCCUUAGUAACGGCGAGUGAAGCGGCAAAAGCUCAAAUUUGAAAUCUGGUACCUUCGGUGCCCGAGUUGUAAUUUGGAGAGGGCAACUUUGGGGCCGUUCCUUGUCUAUGUUCCUUGGAACAGGACGUCAUAGAGGGUGAGAAUCCCGUGUGGCGAGGAGUGCGGUUCUUUGUAAAGUGCCUUCGAAGAGUCGAGUUGUUUGGGAAUGCAGCUCUAAGUGGGUGGUAAAUUCCAUCUAAAGCUAAAUAUUGGCGAGAGACCGAUAGCGAACAAGUACAGUGAUGGAAAGAUGAAAAGAACUUUGAAAAGAGAGUGAAAAAGUACGUGAAAU
Molecule: ribosomal RNA, 400 nt
Filed under: Bacteroides fragilis
Lineage: Bacteria; Pseudomonadati; Bacteroidota; Bacteroidia; Bacteroidales; Bacteroidaceae
Description: partial 23S ribosomal RNA
Rfam family: Eukaryotic large subunit ribosomal RNA
Source: RNAcentral